Molecule: ribosomal RNA, 300 nt
Filed under: uncultured Oleispira sp.
Lineage: Bacteria; Pseudomonadati; Pseudomonadota; Gammaproteobacteria; Oceanospirillales; Oceanospirillaceae
Description: bacterial SSU rRNA
Rfam family: Bacterial small subunit ribosomal RNA
Source: RNAcentral
UGCUUAGGAAUCUACCAAGUAGUGGGGGAUAGCCAUUGGAAACGAUGAUUAAUACCGCAUAUAUCCUACGGGGGAAAGGCAGGGGAUCUUCGGACCUUGCGCUAUUUGAUGAGCCUGAGUGAGAUUAGCUAGUUGGUGGGGUAAAGGCCUACCAAGGCGACGAUCUCUAGCUGGUUUGAGAGGACGAUCAGCCACACUGGGACUGAGACACGGCCCAGACUCCUACGGGAGGCAGCAGUGAGGAAUAUUGGACAAUGGAGGCAACUCUGAUCCAGCCAUGCCGCGUGAAGGAUGACUGCC